AAAAGGUUCUAUUUGAAUUACCUCUCAAAGUUCAAACACUUCUCUCAGAUCUUUAAUCUCACUCUCUUCCAAAUCAAUAUUCUACUCAAUCCACAUUAAUUAUAUACAAUCUAACUAAAGUAUGUCGAAUUUGGGAUUCAGUUCACUAUUACUAUUAAUGAUUACACUUUUUAGUUUCGGUGGAGCGGCCUUGGUAUCUCGGAAUUCAGAAGAAGCGUACGUGACGCUUCUGUAUGGCGACGAAUUCUUGCUGGGCGUUCGAGUCCUGGGGAAAUCGAUUCGUGACACGGGUUCCACCAAAGACAUGGUUGCUUUGGUGUCUGAUGGAGUCU
This 332-nucleotide long non-coding RNA is filed under the name Olea europaea subsp. europaea. Lineage: Eukaryota; Viridiplantae; Streptophyta; Magnoliopsida; Lamiales; Oleaceae. The record is from RNAcentral.